RNAcentral lists this ribosomal RNA (398 nucleotides) under uncultured bacterium. RNAcentral describes it as "bacterial SSU rRNA". It matches the Rfam family "Bacterial small subunit ribosomal RNA", at positions 358 to 773 of the family's 1533-position model. The record is from RNAcentral.
GGAAUUUUGGGCAAUGGGCGAAAGCCUGACCCAGCAAUGCCGCGUGGGUGACGAAGGCCUUCGGGUCGUAAAGCCCUUUUCCCAGGGAAGAUAAUGACGGUACCCUCCGAAUCAGGCCCGGCUAACUACGUGCCAGCAGCCGCGGUAAUACGUAGGGGCCAAGCGUUGUCCGGAAUUACUGGGCGUAAAGCGUGGGUAGGUGGUCGGUGAUGUGCCGCGUGAAAGCGCCGGAGUAACGCCGGCGAGGUCGCGGUAGACACAGCGACUAGAGGCUCGCAGAGGAACGUGGAAUUCCCGGUGUAGUGGUGAAAUGCGUAGAUAUCGGGAGGAACACCAGUGGCGCAAGCGGCGUUCUGGGCGAGACCUGACACUGAGCCACGACGGCGUGGGGAGCAAAC